GACGCACGCUGGCGGCGUGCUUAACACAUGCAAGUCGAGCGAUGAAGCACCUUCGGGUGUGAAUUAGCGGCGAACGGGUGAGGAACACGCGAGAAAUCUGCCUUCAACUCUGGGAUAACUCCGUGAAAACGGGGCAAAUACCGGAUAUGAAACCUGCGGGCAUCCGCGGGUUUGGAAAAGUUUUCGGUUGAAGAUGAUCUCGCGGCCCAUUAGCUUGGUGGUGAGGUAAUGGCUCACCAAGGCGACGACGGGUAGCCGGCCUGAGAGGGCGACCGGCCACACUGGGACUGAGACACGGCCCAGACUCCUACGGGAUGCAGCAGUGGGGAAUAUUGGGCAAGGGAGGAAACUCUGACCCAGCGACGCCGCGUGCGGGAUGAAGGCCUUCGUGUUGUAAACCGCUUUCAGCAGGGAAGAAGCGAAAGUGACGGUACCUGCAGAAGAAGCACCGGCUAACUAUGUGCCAGCCGCCGCGGUAA
Molecule: ribosomal RNA, 479 nt
Filed under: uncultured bacterium
Lineage: Bacteria
Description: partial 16S ribosomal RNA
Rfam family: Bacterial small subunit ribosomal RNA
Source: RNAcentral